RNAcentral lists this ribosomal RNA (1004 nucleotides) under marine metagenome. RNAcentral's name for it is "bacterial SSU rRNA". It matches the Rfam family "Bacterial small subunit ribosomal RNA", at positions 314 to 1336 of the family's 1533-position model. The record is from RNAcentral.
UGGGACUGAGACACGGCCCAAACUCCUACGGGAGGGCAGCAGUGGGGAAUCUUGCACAAUGGAGGAAACUCUGAUGCAGCGAUGCCGCGUGAGUGAAGAAGGCCUUUGGGUUGUAAAGCUCUUUCGUCGGGGAAGAAAAUGACUGUACCCGAAUAAGAAGGUCCGGCUAACUUCGUGCCAGCAGCCGCGGUAAUACGAAGGGACCUAGCGUAGUUCGGAAUUACUGGGCUUAAAGAGUUCGUAGGUGGUUGAAAAAGUUAGUGGUGAAAUCCCAGAGCUUAACUCUGGAACUGCCAUUAAAACUUUUCAGCUAGAGUAUGAUAGAGGAAAGCAGAAUUUCUAGUGUAGAGGUGAAAUUCGUAGAUAUUAGAAAGAAUACCAAUUGCGAAGGCAGCUUUCUGGAUCAUUACUGACACUGAGGAACGAAAGCAUGGGUAGCGAAGAGGAUUAGAUACCCUCGUAGUCCAUGCCGUAAACGAUGUGUGUUAGACGUUGGAAAUUUAUUUUCAGUGUCGCAGCGAAAGCGAUAAACACACCGCCUGGGGAGUACGACCGCAAGGUUAAAACUCAAAUGAAUUGACGGGGACCCGCACAAGUAGUGGAGCAUGUGGUUUAAUUCGAAGAUACGCGCAGAACCUUACCAACACUUGACAUGUUCGUCGCGACUCUAAGAGAUUAGAGUUUUCGGUUCGGCCGGACGAAACACAGGUGCUGCAUGGCUGUCGUCAGCUCGUGUCGUGAGAUGUUGGGUUAAGUCCCGCAACGAGCGCAACCCUCACUUUUAGUUGCCAUCAUUAAGUUGGGCACUCUGAAAGAACUGCCAGUGAUAAGCUGGAGGAAGGUGGGGAUGACGUCAAGUCCUCAUGGCCCUUACGUGUUGGGCUACACACGUGCUACAAUGGUAUCUACAACAGGAAGCAAGACUGCGAGGUCAAGCAAAUCCCUAAAAGAUACCUCAGUUCGGAUUGCACUCUGCAACUCGAGUGCAUGAAGCUGGAAUUACU